Molecule: long non-coding RNA, 2026 nt
Filed under: Aquilegia coerulea
Lineage: Eukaryota; Viridiplantae; Streptophyta; Magnoliopsida; Ranunculales; Ranunculaceae
Description: long non-coding RNA (ACOE_LNC000009)
Source: RNAcentral
UGUGAAUAAGUGAUGAAGGGACAAAAUCUACUGUGAAUUCCACACUUGAAACUUGUAAUAAAAUUCACUUGAGUUGAUUUGUCUUUGUUACUCCAUGAAUGAAUGAAUGAACAAAACAAACACCAUAGAUAGCACGCUAACUGAGCCGUGUCUUACGCAAGAAAGACACAACACAAUGUCAAUGUUCCAGUCCUGGACUGCUACUGCUUGAUUUCUGUUUCCGCACGUCUUGUAAACUUGGAGUCAUGUCCCUUUUCUUUUCUUUUCUGUUCUCUGUAGUCUGUAGUCGAUCAUAUCUGUUCUCACCAUCAAACAACACAUCACAUGGUGCAGUUCUAAUUUUCAAGAGAUGAUUUCUAUUUUACAGAAACCCUAGCUAAGUUAUUUACUUAUCCAUAGUCCGUAUAUAUAUUGACUAGUUUUGAGUUAAAUGUGUUAGUAUAUCAUAAUGUUCAAUGUUUCGAAACCAAGCAAGGAAGUGGCAAAGAAUUUAUUCAAACAUGCUGCAAAUAAAAUCAUAUAAUAUAGCACCACCACAAACAAACAAAUCCAAUUGCAGAGUGUAGUUUGACUGUUGACAUACUUAUACUGUAUAUGUAGACAUGAUCAUGAUUCAUAGUUUUCUUAUAUAUGUUCCACUCAACUAGCUCUUCGUCGUGCAUCUUAUCACUAGCCCAACCAAGUUGGUCCAAAGUCCAAACCAAAUAAACCACAGUCCCAUAGAUAUCUGAAUCUGUGGGAACAAUAUGUAGAUCAAGCCAUCAUCAUCGUCAUCUUUCUUAUAUACAACAUGACUGGCUGACCUGAUUAUAUGUGUCGGCCAAUAUUGUUUGGCUUGUUUAUUCCUUGCGCACAUUAUAAGGUUUAGAUGCAUUUGAUAACUUCACCACUACGCUUCCACAAUCCACAUAUAUACAACGUGGUUGUCAAGUAUCCAAUCUGAUGAUAUUCUGACUCAUUUCACUUCGUCUAUACUCUAUAACGUCUCUAUUUGUUAUUACAUCAACAUCAUGGGGUUCUGCCACGUAUAUAUUAAUACACGCGGCUCUACUCUUCUUCCAUUAACGCGGCAAAUCAUCAAAUCUAUUGUGGACUUGUUGGAUGUAUAGAACAAGUGUAGAACACAAAAUGCAAGAUUGCAAGAACCCAAGUUUAUAUAAUUUGAAACAAAACUCUUGUGUUGAAAAUAAAAUCCAAACCAUGGAAUGAACUUUUUCUAAAAGUGAGAAUAAACAAAAACAUUCUUUGGAUUAGAAAGAAAACAGAUAGUACUAAUUAAAGUAAUUAAACUAAACAUUAUUGACUUUUUAUUCUUUCUUGUUGUGGACUUGUGCUUGUGGCUUAGCCAGUAUUUAAGUCACACAGAGAGAACUGAGAAGACAACUGUUAUUCUUCAAGUCUGAUCAUCUCUUUCACCACAACUACAUCACUAUUUGAACAACUUUUAACAUUAAAGAAGCCCAAUUAAUUUAGAGUGAAACUAUCACUUUAUUUUUUGGAUUCAAGUUCAAGUCUUGAAGAUCUCUGUUUCAUGGAAAUUCAUAUACUAUAUGCUUUCUAAAAGGUACCAUAUUUUCUUUUUCAUGAUUUCUUUUUGGGAUCUCUGAAAAACCCAACUUUUUUCUAAUCUUUUCUUCAUUCCCAAUUCAGCCAUUUUCGGAACUCUUCUGAUAAAGCUCUGUUUUCAAAAACCAACUCAUUUCAACUUUUUAUAAAGACCCAUUAUAUUUGUAAUUCUAAAGUGACUUUUUAGAAAACAAACAAGUUUCAAUUCAAUUCCCUUGUUUUGAAAAAAAAAAAUGCAAGAUCCAUCAACCUUUCUACCUAUCAAACCAAACUUUCCAGAACAAGAACACUUGAAAUGCCCACGUUGUGAUUCAUCAAACACCAAAUUCUGCUAUUACAACAAUUACAAUCUCUCUCAACCUCGCCAUUAUUGUAAGAAUUGUAGACGUUAUUGGACUAAAGGGGGUGCUCUUAGAAACAUACCAAUUGGUGGUGGAACUCGAAAGGCAGCAAAACGUUC